This 492-nucleotide ribosomal RNA is filed under the name uncultured bacterium. RNAcentral describes it as "partial 16S ribosomal RNA". It matches the Rfam family "Bacterial small subunit ribosomal RNA", at positions 29 to 507 of the family's 1533-position model. The record is from RNAcentral.
AGUGAACGCUGGCGGUAGGCCUAACACAUGCAAGUCGAACGGCAGCACCGUAAGAGCUUGCUCUUACGGGUGGCGAGUGGCGGACGGGUGAGGAAUACAUCGGAAUCUACUUUUUCGUGGGGGAUAACGUAGGGAAACUUACGCUAAUACCGCAUACGACCUACGGGUGAAAGCAGGGGAUCUUCGGACCUUUCGCGAUUGAAUGAGCCGAUGUCGGAUUAGCUAGUUUGCGGGGUAAAGGCCCACCAAGGCGACGAUCCGUAGCUGGUCUGAGAGGAUGAUCAGCCACACUGGAACUGAGACACGGUCCAGACUCCUACGGGAGGCAGCAGUGGGGAAUAUUGGACAAUGGGCGCAAGCCUGAUCCAGCCAUACCGCGUGGGUGAAGAAGGCCUUCGGGUUGUAAAGCCCUUUUGUUGGGAAAGAAAAGCAGCAGGUUAAUACCCCGCUGUUCUGACGGUACCCAAAGAAGAAGCACCGGCUAACUUCGUG